ACAGCCUUCUGAAAGGAAGAUUAAUACAAGAUGGCAUCAUGAGUCCGCAUGUUCACAUGAUUAAAGGUAUUCCGGUAGACGAUGGGGAUGCGUUCCAUUAGAUAGUAGGCGGGGUAACGGCCCACCUAGUCUUCGAUGGAUAGGGGUUCUGAGAGGAAGGUCCCCCACAUUGGAACUGAGACACGGUCCAAACUCCUACGGGAGGCAGCAGUGAGGAAUAUUGGUCAAUGGGCGAGAGCCUGAACCAGCCAAGUAGCGUGAAGGAUGACUGCCCUAUGGGUUGUAAACUUCUUUUAUAAAGGAAUAAAGUCGGGUAUGCAUACCCGUUUGUAUGUACUUUAUGAAUAAGGAUCGGCUAACUCCGUGCCAGCAGCCGCGGUAAUACGGAGGAUCCGAGCGUUAUCCGGAUUUAUUGGGUUUAAAGGGAGCGUAGAUGGAUGUUUAAGUCAGUUGUGAAAGUUUGCGGCUCAACCGUAAAAUUGCAGUUGAUACUGGAUAUCUUGAGUGCAGUUGAGGCAGGCGGAAUUCGUGGUGUAGCGGUGAAAUGCUUAGAUAUCACGAAGAACUCCGAUUGCGAAGGCAGCCUGCUAAGCUGCAACUGACAUUGAGGCUCGAAAGUGUGGGUAUCAAACAGGAUUAGAUACCCUGGUAGUCCACACGGUAAACGAUGAAUACUCGCUGUUUGCGAUAUACAGCAAGCGGCC
Molecule: ribosomal RNA, 704 nt
Filed under: uncultured bacterium
Lineage: Bacteria
Description: bacterial SSU rRNA
Rfam family: Bacterial small subunit ribosomal RNA
Source: RNAcentral